RNA transcript from Ochotona princeps (American pika), 2111 nucleotides. It is a transcript of the gene named phosphatidylserine synthase 1, with no coding region annotated. The transcript has 14 exons. NCBI's taxonomy places the organism in Eukaryota, Metazoa, Chordata, Mammalia, Lagomorpha, Ochotonidae. The record is from RefSeq and is a predicted model, not a curated record.
CUCUCCGAGGCCGCGUCGCCGGCGCCGCGACCCCGCCCUCCCGCGCCUGUCCUUCCCUGCGCUCCCAGCCAGUGCUGGGCGCCAGACGCGGCCCCGCCGUCCGGCUGCUGGCCCGUGUUCCCGGCGGUCCCAGCCUCCGCGGGCCGGGACCGCGGCCCCCGCGGCAGGACGGGGAGGCGGGCCAUGGCGUCCUGCGUGGGGAGCCGGACCCUGAGCAAGGAUGAUGUGAACUACAAGAUGCAUUUCCGGAUGAUCAACGAGCAGCAAGUGGAAGACAUCACCAUCGACUUCUUCUACCGGCCGCACACCAUCACCCUGCUCAGCUUCACCAUCGUCAGCCUCAUGUACUUCGCCUUCACCAGGGAUGACUCUGUUCCAGAGGACAACAUCUGGAGGGGCAUCCUCUCUGUUGUUUUCUUCUUUCUUAUCAUCAGCGUGUUGGCUUUCCCCAAUGGUCCAUUUACUCGGCCCCACCCAGCUUUGUGGCGAAUGGUUUUUGGGCUCAGCGUACUCUACUUCCUAUUCCUGGUGUUCCUCCUCUUCCUGAAUUUUGAGCAGGUGAAGUCCCUCAUGUACUGGCUGGACCCGAACCUUCGCUACGCCACCAGGGAAGCCGAUAUCAUGGAGUACGCCGUGAAUUGCCAUGUCAUCACCUGGGAGCGCAUCGUCAGCCACUUCGACAUCUUUGCGUUUGGGCACUUCUGGGGCUGGGCCAUGAAGGCCCUGUUGAUCCGCAGCUACGGUCUGUGCUGGACAAUCAGCAUCACCUGGGAGCUGACAGAGCUUUUCUUCAUGCAUCUCCUGCCCAACUUCGCGGAGUGCUGGUGGGAUCAGGUCAUCCUGGACAUCCUGCUGUGUAAUGGCGGUGGCAUCUGGCUGGGCAUGGUGGUCUGCCGGUUCCUGGAGAUGCGCACAUACCACUGGGCAAGCUUCAAGGACAUUCACACCACCACUGGCAAGAUCAAACGAGCCGUGCUCCAGUUCACGCCUGCCAGCUGGACCUACGUGAGAUGGUUUGACCCCAAGUCUUCCUUCCAGAGAGUGGCCGGAAUCUACCUGUUCAUGAUCAUCUGGCAGCUGACCGAGUUGAAUACCUUCUUCCUGAAACAUAUCUUUGUGUUCCAAGCCAGCCAUCCGUUAAGCUGGUGUAGGAUUCUCUUUAUUGGCUGCAUCACGGCUCCCACAGUGAGGCAGUACUACGCUUACCUCACGGACACACAGUGCAAACGCGUGGGAACACAGUGCUGGGUGUUUGGGGUCAUUGGUUUCCUGGAAGCUAUCGUUUGCAUAAAAUUCGGACAAGAUCUCUUCUCGAAAACCCAAAUACUCUACGUUGUACUUUGGCUUCUUUGUGUGGCCUUCACCACCUUCCUGUGUCUUUACGGCAUGGUCUGGUAUGCGGAGCACUAUGGCCACCGGGAGAAGACCUAUUCAGAGUGUGAGGACAGCACUUACAGCCCUGACAUCUCCUGGCAUCACGGGAAAGGCGCAAAAGGUUCUGAAGACAGCCCACCCAAGCAUUCGGGCAACAACGAAAGCCAUUCUUCCAGAAGACGGAAUCGACAUUCCAAGUCCAAAGUCACCAAUGGAGUGGGAAAGAAAUGAAAGGCCCUCCCCCCUCUGCCCCCUGGCCAAUCAAAGAUGUCCCAGAGAGUGCCUAGAACCACGAAGAAAGGGAAGCAGAAAGUCGUUUAGACCUCCCCGUGAGGAGCAUCCUCAGUUCCCCCCACGCUUUGAAGACUUCCCACCACGUGGCAGGUGCACUGCCCUCUGAGGAAGGGUCGGCCGCCUGCCUUGGAACCUGGGGCUCCACGUCUGAACCUGUUUUUGUCCCGUUGCAAAUGUCCCUUGUCCAAACCGAUCCAGCCACACUCCCAAAGCGAGCCUGUGACGGGGCGGUGAACACUGUGGCUACUGUGCCCCCUCCCCCAGGUGCCUUUGACAUUGGCUUGGUUUUACCCGCCCUGGUGUGUUAGAGCUGACAUUGUUGUCUUUAGUCCCAUGUGAGGUGCUGGUGAGUGUUACCUUCCGUGUGUGCCAUGCUGUAAAACAUCCUCCCCGGUAGUUCACCGCGAUGGAUCUGUUUUCAAUAAAACCCACGUGAAAGCCCA